UGCGGGUUUAGCAGCCCUUGUCUCCUUCACCCAAGGGUUAUUGAAAUUCCUCAGCUUGUUUUUCCCCGGAAACAUUCAGCCAUUUAGAUUCAGACGGCGUGACUGCACGCUGGGAGCGCGCCGUUAGACGCCCGAAGAGCAUCAGCAUCAGCAGCAGCAGCGCACGAGCGGCUGGAGGACGCUCAUGCCCCGCCGGUGCAUCGAGGUUUUCAACAGACGGGAGGUCCUGACACAAAAGGUCAUCAACUGGACUGUCCUGCACACACGUGGCAUCAAACAAAAGCGGUAAAAAGGAGUUGUUGGUGUGCGCAGGUGAAUCACAUGGACAUGGGCCGGGUCGACAGCUGGUGUAAAGUGGGCUCUGCAGGCGUCCUUCCCUCGGAUUACAUUUUAAUGGAUUAAAACUAAACAGCAAUCAAUAAAGCGG
This 427-nucleotide long non-coding RNA is filed under the name Oryzias sinensis (Chinese medaka). Its description in RNAcentral is "lncRNA (ENSOSIG00000018195.1)". The record is from RNAcentral. Lineage: Eukaryota; Metazoa; Chordata; Actinopteri; Beloniformes; Adrianichthyidae.